This 801-nucleotide ribosomal RNA is filed under the name uncultured Diversispora. RNAcentral describes it as "SSU rRNA". It matches the Rfam family "Eukaryotic small subunit ribosomal RNA", at positions 314 to 1114 of the family's 1831-position model. The record is from RNAcentral. Lineage: Eukaryota; Fungi; Glomeromycota; Glomeromycetes; Diversisporales; Diversisporaceae.
AUCAACUUUCGAUGGUAGGAUAGAGGUCUACCAUGGUUUUAACGGGUAACGGGGAAUUAGGGUUCGAUUCCGGAGAGGGAGCCUGAGAAACGGCUACCACAUCCAAGGAAGGCAGCAGGCGCGCAAAUUACCCAAUCCCGACACGGGGAGGUAGUGACAAUAAAUAACAAUACGGGGCUCAUUUGGGUCUCGUAAUUGGAAUGAGUACAAUUUAAAUACCUUAACGAGGAACAAUUGGAGGGCAAGUCUGGUGCCAGCAGCCGCGGUAAUUCCAGCUCCAAUAGCGUAUAUUAAAGUUGUUGCAGUUAAAAAGCUCGUAGUUGAAUUUCGGGAUUCGUCCAUUGGUCAGGCUUAACUGUCUGUACUGGUGUGUCGGAUUUCUACCUUCUGAAGAACCUUUAUGCCAUUAAUUUGGUGUGUUGGGGAAUCAGGACUGUUACUUUGAAAAAAUUAGAGUGUUUAAAGCAGGCUAACGUCUGAAUACAUUAGCAUGGAAUAAUGAAAUAGGACGGUACGGUUCUAUUUUGUUGGUUUCUAGGAUCGCCGUAAUGAUUAAUAGGGAUAGUUGGGGGCAUUAGUAUUCAAUUGUCAGAGGUGAAAUUCUUGGAUUUAUUGAAGACUAACUACUGCGAAAGCAUUUGCCAAGGAUGUUUUCAUUAAUCAAGAACGAAAGUUAGGGGAUCGAAGACGAUCAGAUACCGUCGUAGUCUUAACCAUAAACUAUGUCGACUAGGGAUUGGACGAUGUUAAUUUUUUAAUGACUCGUUCAGCACCUUACGGGGAACCAAAGUGUUUGGGUUC